GAUGAACGCUGGCGGCGUGCCUAAUACAUGCAAGUCGAGCGAACGGACGAGAAGCUUGCUUCUCUGAUGUUAGCGGCGGACGGGUGAGUAACACGUGGAUAACCUACCUAUUAUACUGGGAUAACUUCGGGAAACCGGUGCUAAUACCGGAUGAUAUUUUGAACCGCAUGGUUCAAAAGUGAAAGACGCUCUUGCUGUCACUUAUAGAUGGAUCCGCGCUGCAUUAGCUAGUUGGUAAGGUAACGGCUUACCAAGGCGACGAUGCAUAGCCGACCUGAGAGGGUGAUCGGCCACACUGGAACUGAGACACGGUCCAGACUCCUACGGGAGGCAGCAGUGGGGAAUAUUGCGCAAUGGGCGAAAGCCUGACGGAGCAACGCCGCGUGAGUGAUGAAGGUCUUCGGAUCGUAAAACUCUGUUAUUAGGGAAGAACAGAAGUAUAAGUAACUGUGGACAUCUUGACGGUACCUAAACAGAAAGCCACGGCUAACUACGUG
This 497-nucleotide ribosomal RNA is filed under the name uncultured bacterium. RNAcentral describes it as "partial 16S ribosomal RNA". It matches the Rfam family "Bacterial small subunit ribosomal RNA", at positions 28 to 507 of the family's 1533-position model. The record is from RNAcentral.